AUGUGUGAAUAAUCGCAACCCUACCCGAAACCACUUCCUCCUAAACCAACUUAGACAGAGGAUACAUUGACCUCGCCAACAGCGCCAUCACACCACACCACAGACUCUUGCUCUCUGUCUCCUGCUUAACCAGGGGCCAAUUUAAGAUAGUCGGACAAUGGUGGACAUCUACGUCAACGUUGACACUCUUAAACCAUCAGCAGCUUCACCAAACCAGCCAGUUUAGCAGGAGUGUGUGUAGGCGUGUGUGCGUGUGUGUGGGUGUAUGUUUGUGAGUGCAUAUGUGUGUGUGUGUGUGUGUGUGCACGGGUGUUGCCGUGCGGGCACGUGCGGACAUCCUGAGGCUGCUGGCGUCCCUGCUGGUGCUCCAGCUGAUGCGGCUGGAGGGUGUGGCUGAGGGGCGGCUGCUGAGGAACCUGUUCAGCCUGGACACGCCCCCGGAGACCAGGUCUCUGUCCUCACCGAGCACCCCGACACUACAGGGCCCUCCACACCGGUCCAUCCCAACACUACAGGGCCCUCCACACCUGUACACCCCAACACUACAGGGCCCUCCACUACUGUCCACCCCAACACUACAGGGCCCUCCACUACUGUCCACCCCAACACUACAGGGCCCUCCACUACUGUCCACCCCAACACUACAGGGCCCUCCACUACUGUCCACCCCGACAAUACAGGGCCCUCCACUACUGUCCACCCCAACACUACAGGGCCCCCCAAUACUGGAGGGCUACUACUAAUUUAUUCCAAGUUUUAUUAAUUCAGAAAGAACAAACAGUAGGCCUACUAAAUUAUGAUGACAUGAUACAUGAUAUGCAUCAUCAUGUAUUGUAACUGUCUCAGAGACAGUCUGGACAUUACAGAGAUUUAAAUAUGUAUUUACAUUAAUUGUUUAAUUCAUGAUUUUAUUCUUUGUUCAAAAAUGAUUUACGUUGUGCUGUUAAAAAUAGAUAUUGUGUCA
Molecule: long non-coding RNA, 964 nt
Organism: Gadus morhua (Atlantic cod)
Lineage: Eukaryota; Metazoa; Chordata; Actinopteri; Gadiformes; Gadidae
Exons: 2
Source: RefSeq, a predicted model, not a curated record